AGAUUGAAAUUUCUCCGAGCCAUUUGACCUACGGAUCUUCUAAGGCAAAUGGCCGACAGGGUAUAGGUGGAAACGCCUACGCCUCCCGAGAUUGGAAAGGAGAAUCUUGCUUAAAGAA
This 118-nucleotide non-coding RNA is filed under the name Deltaproteobacteria bacterium. RNAcentral's name for it is "MoCo sequence". It matches the Rfam family "Molybdenum/Tungsten riboswitch aptamer (Moco RNA motif)". The record is from RNAcentral. Lineage: Bacteria; Pseudomonadati; Myxococcota; Myxococcia.